AUUAUACACACAGAAUAUCAUUUCUUUCUCUUCCUUCUACACGUAAACCAAGGAAUCCUUUGUUCUUCAUCCAGUUCAUCGAUUCUUUGUUCGGGUCUCAUGAUGGAUUCGGAUCCUUUAUAUUUCUUUUAGCACUAUCUUCCUUCACACAAUUCACAAACCCUAGCUCUUCCCCUGCUUCUCUUUCUUUGCAUUCUUAUACCCUAUCCUCCCAUCGCUUCAUCGCAAUCCUCGCAGACUUAUUGGAGACAAAGGGGAUUCAUCAGUCUUAAUUAAUCGCAUAAACCCUAAAAGUCUUCUUCUCCAUCACAUGUAAGCUGUUCUUGAUUCAAUUGCAAGGUCUCGAUGGAUCUGUCACUCUUCGCGGUGAGGGCAUGAAUAGCUUGUCAUUGGCUAAUAGAUCAUCUAUUACGAAUUACGUGCAACGAUGGGCUUCUUUCUUGUAGAUCAUGUUACACUGCAGUACCUUAAGUUAACAGAACGAAGUGAUGAUACUGUAAGCUUUCUUCUUUGUAUUCUAAAAUAAGUUAACUUUUAGUUAAUAAAAUUCAGGAUGUGUUAUCCGCCACGAAGUUUGAAGAAUUGUCAAAGAUGUUAAUAGAAAGGUAUAUGGGAAUUAUACAGUAAAAUAAUUACAACUGAGCAUUCAAUUUCCCCAGUUUUGAUUAUGUAUCUGAUUAGAUUUGGAAUAUAUUUGUUGUAUCAUUAAUUAUGUGGUGCAUGGUUUGAUAAUAUUGACAAUAAGAAGUGUAGGAGGCUGUAUCACUCUUGAAUGCUAAGAUAAUUCGUGAAUGGCUAAAGUUAUUAUGGAUUUCUCACAUCAUGCAACCUAUUAGCUGAGAUAUUCCUUCAUGGGGAAGGCCAUUGGUGGAUGAGCAUUUAAAUUUCUAUAUCUAAUAAAAGAAAAGCUUGGCACUUGUCUGAGACAAGGUAGAUGAAAUGGGCAAGUAGCUGGAGCAAAUUUUCUUUUAAAGGAGUUGGUUCUUUUUCACAAGGAGUGAUGGAUGUCCGUUGUGGCUAUGGAAUUUGUUGCCAUGGAGAGGAGUUUCAAUGCCUUUUCCCUGAAAACGUGGUCCAAGAAAUAGAAACACCACUUUUUGUAACAAACACGGCCUAUGAUUCAGGGCAGAUAAAGAAUGCAGUAGCUCCUGGGGUAGUUGAUCCUCAUGGUAAAUGGCACGACUGUAAAAUGGAUAUUGAGCAGUGUUCAUCUGAUCAAAUUGAGAUCAUACAAGGUUGGAGUUCAUACGCGCAUUGGAUGGAUUUUUUGGCACUUCUUCACCAAGAGGGAUGUUUAUCAACUCUUGCUAUGCCCACUGCCAAACUGAAAUACAAGAGACAUGGUAUAUGAGUGAUUCACCCAUGUUGAGUAACAAGGUAAACUGGGCCAGCCCGUUUGUUCUCUUAUAAGUGAGUCGAUUUGAGUUAUAAUUUAUCGCUGACGGGUCAAACGAGGAUAAUUAGUUGUAAACUUUUCAUAAACUUAAACAUGGGUUGUGAACUUGUAAGAGAUUUAUAAGCUUAUUGAUUGCUUAUGAUCCGUGUUUAUAACUUUUGGUAAUUUUUUUACACUUAAUUGGGUUUGGGUAUGUCGUAAAAUUCAGUUUUUAGUGUACUUAGUUUUUCAGGUUGCUUUGGGUUAGGCUCGGUAUGUGGUUUCGGGUCAGUUUCGAUAACCAAUUAUAGGUAAAAUCGACAACGCGCCAAUGCUUGGACACCAUGUAUGGUCCAUAGUUCAUGGAACUUUUGUUUAGCUUCAUAACUUCGUUUUAAAGUUUAUUUGCUAAAUUGAAGUAUUGGCUCACCUUAAAGGGAAAGUUGUUUUCAUGAUCUUUCCAAAUGGUGAAUUUCCAGCUAUAAUGUAGUUCCCAGGAUCAUUUACACUACAUGGGGACAUCACAUGAAGGUCAUGUUGCAACACGCUCUGCAAGACUAAAUCUGAUAUCUUUAUUAUGGUUUAUCCAAUGAAAAUAUAAAGGUCGGAAUGUCAAUUACGUUUAAGCAACAGUUGGUCAUUUCUACAAACCAACCCUUAAAAAUAAAAUGCCUGUUGUUCACCUAUUGCGAGCAAAACUAUUUAACGAGCACAAGUAAUGGAUGUGUUUUUUCACUUACAAGCACACAUUUACCAUAGACUUAGUUUGGUCAGAUAAUUUGGAAUGGGUCCAACUGGUAAUCAAUUAUGGAUUUGAAGCAACAUAUCAAAGGGAAGUUGUUGAAGUUGGAGGUUGAUCAUCAAAAUACAUCAAGUUAUCAAGAUAUGAUUGUACAUGUUUCAAACCGUAUUGUCAAUUAGAGUAUUUGAUUCAUUUAAGAUUGAUGUGAAACAAUUAUAUAAAGUUCAGUUGAUUUUAUGAUUGAAGUAGUGUGAUUGUAUUAAGAAUUAUAUAUACCUAAGUAACUUGGUGCGUUUUUAUCCCAA
This is an RNA transcript of Helianthus annuus (common sunflower), 2422 nucleotides long. It is a transcript of the gene named pectin acetylesterase 8-like, with no coding region annotated. The transcript is spliced from 11 exons. NCBI's taxonomy places the organism in Eukaryota, Viridiplantae, Streptophyta, Magnoliopsida, Asterales, Asteraceae. The record is from RefSeq and is a predicted model, not a curated record.